RNA transcript from Drosophila busckii, 3098 nucleotides. It is a transcript of the gene named ATP-dependent RNA helicase p62, with no coding region annotated. The transcript has 5 exons. The record is from RefSeq and is a predicted model, not a curated record. NCBI's taxonomy places the organism in Eukaryota, Metazoa, Arthropoda, Insecta, Diptera, Drosophilidae.
AGCCAUUAGUUAAAUAUGUUAAAAUUAGUGCAAUAUGUUACGCGUCAAACGUGCGAGGCGACCACUUGUAGCUGGCGCAACUUAUUGAUUUCACCAAAGAGCGCUGAAAAAAGUAUAACGCAACGACGCCAUUUUCUUUUCUGCUCCACCAACAGCACAGCCAGCAGCAGUUUUGCUUUGAUCUGCAGAGAACGUCAACAGUUCCACGGGAGACCAAGCUGCACACAAGAGCAGCCAGCAACAGUUCGAAAUUUAAACAGUUGCUAUCAGCAGACUCAGCGUGCCCUGCAUUUGUCUUCGAUUCGACUAGAAACGUCAAGAGCAGUCGACGAGACAUUACUCCCAGCAGCAGCAGCAGACAGGCAAACUAACGUGUCCAAACGUGCAAGGAAAUCGCUUUUCACAGACCCAGAAGAGGAAACUGAAGACUACAAAAUUGCUGGAAUAAUGGCACCACACGAUCGUGACUUUGGCACAAACUCACGAGGCGGACGAGAUCGCGAGGAUGAUCGUCGCGGUGGCGGCGGAGGAGGCGGCAACAGAUUUGGCGGUGGAGGCGGCGGCGGUAAUGACUAUCAUGGCGUACGCAACGGCCGUAUUGAAAAACGUCGCGAUGAUCAUCGUGGCGGUGGAGGUGGCUCUCGCUUUGGGGGCGGUGGUGGGGGUGGAUUUGGAGGAGAUCGUCGUGGUGGCGGCGGUGGAGGUGGCAGCCAAGAUCUACCCAUGCGCCCCGUGGACUUUUCAAAUUUGACUCCGUUCAAGAAGAACUUCUAUCAAGAGCACCCCACAGUGGCGAAUCGUUCGCCCUAUGAAGUGCAGCGCUAUCGCGAUGAGCAUGAGAUCACAGUUCGUGGCCAGGCUGCCAAUCCCAUUCAGGACUUUGGUGAGGCCUACUUGCCCGACUAUGUUGUUAAGGAGAUUCGUCGCCAGGGCUACAAGUCGCCCACACCCAUCCAGGCACAAGGCUGGCCCAUUGCCAUGAGUGGUGCCAACUUCGUGGGCAUUGCCAAGACCGGCUCCGGCAAGACGCUCGGCUACAUUCUGCCCGCCAUUGUGCACAUCAACAAUCAGCAGCCUCUGCAGCGCGGCGAUGGACCCAUUGCCCUGGUGCUGGCACCCACACGUGAGCUGGCCCAGCAGAUCCAACAGGUGGCCACCGAAUUCGGUUCCUCCUCCUAUGUGCGCAACACUUGCGUCUUUGGCGGCGCUCCCAAGGGCGGCCAAAUGCGUGACUUACAGCGUGGCUGUGAGAUUGUUAUUGCCACACCUGGACGUCUGAUUGAUUUCCUCUCGGCUGGCGCUACCAACUUGAAGCGUUGCACCUACUUGGUAUUGGAUGAGGCUGAUCGCAUGUUGGACAUGGGUUUCGAGCCACAAAUCCGCAAAAUUGUAUCACAGAUUCGUCCAGAUCGUCAGACGCUCAUGUGGAGCGCUACCUGGCCCAAGGAGGUGAAGCAGCUCGCCGAGGAUUUCCUUGGCAACUACAUACAGAUCAACAUUGGCUCUCUGGAGCUGUCGGCCAAUCACAAUAUUCGUCAAGUGGUCGAUGUUUGCGAUGAAUUCAGCAAGGAAGAAAAAUUGAAGACACUGCUGUCAGAUAUUUAUGACACAAGCGAGAAUCCCGGCAAGAUCAUCAUCUUUGUUGAGACAAAGCGUCGCGUCGACAACUUGGUGCGAUUUAUCCGCAGCUUUGGAGUUCGUUGCGGCGCCAUUCACGGCGACAAGUCACAGUCUGAACGUGACUUUGUCCUGCGCGAAUUCAGAUCGGGCAAAUCCAAUAUAUUGGUAGCUACCGAUGUGGCAGCUCGUGGUUUGGAGGCCGUUUAUUGUAGUAUGAUGGGGAGGAUAAGUGAGCAACUACAAGUACCGUUAGCAGUACUCGUAACUUGAGCAAUUUUUGCUUAUAAAAAAUGAAUUUAAAUUGAGCAAAAAAAGGUUUUUAAAGUUCACAAAGAUCGAGUCGUGUUCGCUUGGCUGCCGCACGGACGCGCGAUCAACGUAAACAGAUGUGUAUAUAAUAUAUAUCCCCAACAUCAUGCAUCAUACGUGGCCUCUGCAGUGUUCUGUUUUGAGAAAGAGACAAUCGAAUCAAUCAAUCAAUCAAAUCAAUAAAUAAAUCAAUCGAUCAAUCAACUAAGCAACUAAACGUAAAGUGUAACAAGAUGGCAACCCAAAAACAGUUGAAGGCGGCGCUACAAAAUGCAGGUCGAGAGACAAAAUAAUAAUAAAAAAAAAAAAGUUAUUAACGCGAGGCUGAAAAGUCGUCGGUCGGCCGGUUGCUAAGCACAAAAUAUCUACUACGAACUAUCAGCCAAGGCAGCAACAGCAAACUCCAAGUCCAGUGCCUGGAGCAGAGGAAUGAUGCACUUGCACCACAUGCAACACACACGCACAUACAAAAAUACACACACACACACACGUACUCUAAACACACACAAGAGAACAGCUAAAGUGUACGCAAUGAAGAUUUCUGUGUGUUCUGUGUGUGUGAGAAGCGGAGAAGCUGCUGCAAUGGAAAGAGUUGAGUUCUAAUGGAGUUCUCUUCAUACGAUGUGUCGUCACUGCUGCUGCUGCUGCUGUCGCUGUUUGCUUUUAGUGCCUAGCUAAACCAAUUGGGCGCGCCUAUCACGCCCAGUGUGCUGCCCGCCUGCCCUGCCUGCCUGCGCCGCCAAUCGCCCGUCGUAUAGUGGGUGGCCAACUGAGACUGGAACACGCCGCUUGUUUUCUUAAGACACCUCCCUGUGCUCUCUCUGUGGUCAACUAAACAGAUCUCUGGGUUGGCUAGGAGAGAGAUCUUACGUUACGUUAAUUGGCGCACGCGGGGCUCAAUGCAACAAACUCUCGAUGCUCUCGCCACACAGCCACAUUUGGUUUUAUAUAAUAUAUUCAUAUGAUGGAGUGAGAGUUUGGAUCACGAGCUGCGCGCGGCGCCGCCCACACAGAACUUUGAGAUUUUGAUUGAGAGAAAAAUUGCAAUAACAAUUUAUAGCACAACCCCCCAAAAAGAAGACGUGGAUGGCAUUAAGUAUGUCAUCAACUUUGACUAUCCACAAAACAGCGAGGAUUAUAUUCAUCGCAUUGGACGCACAGGACGUUCG